Molecule: ribosomal RNA, 257 nt
Filed under: uncultured bacterium
Lineage: Bacteria
Description: partial 16S ribosomal RNA
Rfam family: Bacterial small subunit ribosomal RNA
Source: RNAcentral
UACGGAGGGGGCGAGCGUUGUCCGAAGUUACGUGGGCGUAAAGCGCGCGUAGGCGGGUUGGUAAGUCCGCUGUGAAAGCCCGGAGCUUAACUCCGGAGGGUCGGUGGAUACUGCCAGUCUUGAAGGUGCUAGGGGGAGAUGGAAUUACCGGUGUGAGCUGGUGAAAUGCGUAGAGAUCGGUAGGAACACCAGUGGCGAAGGCGGUCUCCUGGGGCAUUCUUGACGCUGAGGCGCGAAAGCUGGGGGGAGCGAACGGG